AUUUAGUUGCAUGAAAAACAAUAAGUAUAUUUAAAUUUAUUCUCAUCACUUUUGCGGAUGACCUUAAUAAUCUUUACCUAUAAAAUGAAUUUUUAAAAAAAUUAUAUAUUGUAUAAAUCGUUCUAUAUAGAUCUAUAGACAUUUUAACCCUCUCAGUCCCAAAUAAUUAUCAAAACCCUAUUUUUAGCUCACCUGGCCUGAAGGGCCAAGUGAGCUUUUCUCAUCACUUGGCGUCCGUCGUCCGUCGUCCGUCGGCGUCGUCGUCGUCGUCGUCCGUCGUCGUUAGCUUUUUACAAAAAUCUUCUCCUCUGAAACCACUGGGCCAAAUUUAACCAAACUUGGCCACAAUCAUCAUUAGGGUAUCUAGUUUAAAAAAUGUGUCCAAUGACCCCGCCAACAAACCAAGAUGGCCGCCAUGGCUAAAAAUAGAACAUAGUGGUAAAAUGUAGAUUUUGGCUAAUAUCUCUGAAACCAAAGCAUUUAGAGUAAAUCUGACACAGGGUAAAACUGAUAAUCAGGUCAAGAUCUAUCUGCCCUGAAAUUUUCAGACAAAUCUGACAACCUGUUGUUGGGUUGCUGCCCCUGAAUUGGUAAUUUUAAGGAAAUUUUACAGUUUUUGGUUAUUAUCUUGAAUAUUAUUAUAGAUAGAGAUAAACUGUAAACAGCAAUAAUGUUCAGCAAAGUAAGAUCUACAAAUAAGUUGGGAUGACCAAAAUUGUCAGUCGACCCCUUUAGGAGUUAUUGCCCUUAAUAGUCAAUUUUUAACAAUUUUUCGUAAAUUUUUGUUAUCUUUUACAAAAAUCUUCUUCUCUGAAACUACUGAGACAAAUUUAACCAUACUUGGCCAUAAUCAUUAUUAGGGUAUCUAGUUUAAAAAAUUUAUCCGAUGACCCCGCCUUCCAACCAUCAUGGCCGACUUGGUUAAAAAUUGAACAUAGGGGUAAAAUGCAGUUUUUGGUUUAUAUCUCUGAAACUAAAGCAUUUAGAGCAAAUCUGACAAGGAUAAAAUUGUUCAUUAGGUCAAGAUCUAUCUGCCCUGAAAUUUUCAGACCAAUCAGGCAACACGUUGUUGGGUUGUUGCCCCUGAAUUGGUAAUUUUAAGAAAAUUUUGCAGCUUUUGGUUAUAAUCUUGAAUAUUAUUAUAGAUAGAGAUAAAUUGUAAACAGCAAUAAUGUACAGCAAAGUAAGAUCUACAAAUAAGUCAACAUGACCAAAAUUGUCAAUUGACCCCUUAAGGAGUUAUUGCUCUUUAUAGUCAAUUUUUUACAAUUUUCAUAAAUUUUGUAAAUUUUUGUACAUUUUUUCAAAAUAUUUUCCACUGUAACUACUGGGCCAAGUUCAUUAUAGAUAGAGAUAAUUGUAAGCAGCAAGAAUGUUCAGUAAAGUAAGAUCUACAAACACAUCACCAUCACCAAAACACAAUUUUGUCAUGAAUCCAUCUGUGUCCAUUGUUUAAUAUGCACAUAGACCAAGGUGAGCGACACAGGCUCUUUAGAGCCUCUAGUUGUAAAUCUACAAAUGUUAUAAAAAUACAUGUCCACUGUUUUACAAUACAUGGCAUCCAACCCAUAUCACCAUACAGGGCUAAAUUAGAAGUGUACUUUCCAACAUCCUUAAAAAAACGCAUUGCCCUAUUUUUUACAACACUAAUGCAAGUGUAUUCUUUACUUCCCAAUAUUGCAGCACCAUAAUCAAUAACAGACAAAACAAGAGUGUCGAAAAGCUUAGUAAAAGUAGAAUACUCAAAACCACCAUUUGCUCUGCAUUUAGCAAUAAGUAAGCCUAAUGAUCUGCUGGCUGUUUUUGCUACAAUUUUCGCCAUCUCAUUAUAAUCCAAAAACUCAUUUAAUAAUAAAGCAAGAUACAUAUAUUUUGAUACAAUAUCUAACUGGUUUCCGUUCAACAUAAAUUCAAAAUGUGUUUGUGUCUCAGAUUGUGUUCUAAAACGAACAAUUUUUGACUUGUCAAUAUUUACAACUAAGACAUUCAGUACAUUACACCAUAUACUUAAAACAUCUAAAAAAAUUUGAAGGUCAUUUUCAUUUUCGUCUAAUAACACCACAUCAUCCGCAUAUAACAAUAUACAAAGUUUUUCACCAUUUACAUUUAUACUAAUAUCUUAUCUCUUAAUGUCAUCAACUAAGUUAUUUGUGAAAAUAUUAAAUUAAACGGCGAUAAUAUACAGCUAGCCUUGUUUUAGGCCAGAAUUUACUCCAAACCAAUCAGUCAAAUUGCAAUUCAAUGCUGUAGGAUUUUUAUAUAAUUCAACUGGAAUAUCAUCAACGCCCGGAGCUUUUCCACAUUUUGCUAUUUUCACCACAUUAUACACUUCGCUAGUGGUAAUUUCACCAUCUAAAAUUUCAUCCCAAAUUAUAUCAUUAUUACAAUUUUCUAUUUCAUUACUAUUAUCGCUAUUUUUAUUUAACAUUUCCCUCAAAAUCAUAUUUCCAUUUAUUAAUAACCAUAUUUUUAUCAUCAUAAAUUGAUCCAUCACUUAAUUUAAUCUCCAUUGGAAUAAUAUUUUGACGCUCGCUCCCUACUUCCAAUUUUCCGCCAAAAUUCCUUUUGGUUUCUAUGCGAAUUGAUUAAUUCCUCCUGCAUUGAAUGCCAGUAUUGACGUUUUGAUCUUUGGACUCCUCGGUCAAAUAAUUUUCGUUUUUGUACAAAUAUAUGACGAUGUUCCUUUUUCUCACUACUAAGACUACAUUUAUUCCAAUUUUCUCCGCAUUACAUACACCAUUCCACAACAUAGUAAGCUUGUGAUUCCACCACGGUUUUUUUUACAUUUUCUAGCUUUAUUGUUGAAUGCAUUGCUGAUACGAAUUUCUUUACUUGGUAACUUUUCAGACAUUUCGGUUUUCAUUACAAAUACAAAGUUUUCAUACACUUUAUCAAUAUUUUGUUGUGAAGCUUCAGAUUGUUCUAUAUUAAAAUAUCACACGAUUAAUUUCUGUUACAACAGACUGGUAUACUCUUGGUAUCAUAUUUAAGUUUUAAAACAGUUUGACUUUUGUCUAUAAUUUUACUGACUUGGUCUAUAACUGAAAAAUAUAGGAACAUAUUCCAUGUCAAUAGUGAAUGAUCAGGUACUAUUUUACGAAGAUCAUAUCUACCGGUUUCGCCAAGACUUUGAAUGAUAGUAGUAGCUCUUGUUACGCUAAAGGAGUUAUAAAUGAGUCCAACAUCUCAUAUGGUAAAACACAGUAGUCUACUACACUGGAACCGCGUGUCGAGACAAAAGUAAAGUUGUUACUUAUAGAUUUCCGACCAUUAAAUAUGCAACAGUUAACAUCAAUUAGAAAGUCACAAAAAAUGCUACCAUAUCCGUUUGUCUGAAAGUCGACUAUAUCACGUUCCUGUAAGCAAUCUAUUCCUUCGAUUGAAUCCGAGAAAUCAGAACAACGGCUGUUAAAUCACCACACAGAUAGAACAAAUUACCUUGUGGGAUGGUGCAUAUAUGUGUCAUUAAUGUUUCCAUAAAUUCGUGCACAUUGUCUGCUCUUGUUGAGUUUUCUGGUGGCAGGUAGACGACGCAAACGUAAAACAUUAUAUAAAUAACACAUAGCUGAGAGGGUGAUAGAGCAGAUUGUUACCCCGAGAAAACAUUGUCAACUGAGGCAAAGCCAAGGUUGACAAUGUCUUUUCGAGGGGUAACAAUCUGCUCUAUCACCUUCUCAGAUAUGUGCUAUUUAAUUUAUUAUACUGAAUGUUCUGUCAUUACUGUCUACCAAAUUUCAAAUUCAUAGAAAUGAACUAUGACGUCUUGUACAUAACAACCAUCCGUAUUUAAUGAAGCGCACACUUGAUCAAGCGUCUCCGUGAAGGGUAAUAGAGUAUUUGCCAUAUGAUAGAGUAAAUUGUCUCCCUCGUAUCAACUAAUCAAAAUCUGGCAUUUUGACAUGAAGUAUUAUAUAAAUAACACAUAGCUGAGAGGGUGAUAGAGCAGAUUGUUACCCCAAGAAAACAUUGUCAACUGAGGCGAAGCCAAGGUUGACAAUGUCUUUUCGAGGGGUAACAAUCUGCUCUAUCACCCUCUCAGAUAUGUGUUAUUUAAUUUAUUAUACUGAAUGUUCUGUUAUUACUGUCUAUUAAAUUUCAAAUUCAAAGUAAUAAACUAUGACGUAUUGUACAUAACAACCGUCCGUAUUUAAUAAAGCGCACACCUGAUCAAGCGUCUCCGUGAAGGGUAAUAGAGUAUUUUAUAUAGGAUAGAGUCGUAUUUAAUAAAGCGCA
This is a long non-coding RNA of Mytilus californianus (California mussel), 4233 nucleotides long. RefSeq lists it as uncharacterized. The record is from RefSeq and is a predicted model, not a curated record. NCBI's taxonomy places the organism in Eukaryota, Metazoa, Mollusca, Bivalvia, Mytilida, Mytilidae. The transcript is spliced from 3 exons.